Molecule: ribosomal RNA, 245 nt
Filed under: uncultured Bacillota bacterium
Lineage: Bacteria; Bacillati; Bacillota
Description: uncultured Firmicutes bacterium partial 16S ribosomal RNA
Rfam family: Bacterial small subunit ribosomal RNA
Source: RNAcentral
GACGGAGGAGGCAAGCGUUGUCCGGAAUUAUUGGGCGUAAAGAGCGCGUAGGCUGUUUUCCAAGUCUUGUGUGAAAACCUCAGGCUCAACUUGAGGAUUGCAUAGGAUACUGGUUAACUUGAGUGCAGUAGAGGAAAGUGGAAUUCCUGGUGUAGCGGUAAAAUGCGCAGAUAUCAGGAAGAACACCAGUGGCGAAGGCGGCUUUCUGGGCUGCUACUGACGCUGAGGCGCGAAAGCUAGGGGAG